This 126-nucleotide small RNA is filed under the name Klebsiella pneumoniae. RNAcentral describes it as "RtT sRNA". It matches the Rfam family "RtT RNA". Rfam says of the family: This family represents a bacterial cis-regulatory element known as RtT RNA. The exact function of RtT is unknown although it is thought that it may be involved in changing the cellular response in relation to amino acid starvation. The record is from RNAcentral. Lineage: Bacteria; Pseudomonadati; Pseudomonadota; Gammaproteobacteria; Enterobacterales; Enterobacteriaceae.
UAUUCUGCCCCAUGGGGAAGGAUGAGAAGCUUCGACUUUCGACUCGAGCGAAGCGAGAGAACGUUGCCGGGCAACGGCCCGAAGGGCGAGGCGCUUUAGCGCCGAGUAAUCCUUCCCCCACCACCA